Molecule: ribosomal RNA, 680 nt
Filed under: Lactarius sp. LM1018
Lineage: Eukaryota; Fungi; Basidiomycota; Agaricomycetes; Russulales; Russulaceae
Description: eukaryotic LSU rRNA
Rfam family: 5.8S ribosomal RNA (bases 216-369)
Source: RNAcentral
CAUUAUCGUUCAAAUGUGAGGGGCGUGCAAGGGCUGUCGCUGACUCAAAAGGUCGUGCACGCCCGGGUGUUGUCCCCUCGCAUAACAAUCCAUCUCACCCUCUGUGCAUCACCGCGUGGGUUCCCUUCUCGGAGGGGGCUCGCGUUUUCACACACAAACCCCCCUUUUAAAAGUGUAGAAUGACCUCAUGUAAUGCGUUAACCCGCAAUCAAUACAACUUUCAACAACGGAUCUCUUGGCUCUCGCAUCGAUGAAGAACGCAGCGAAAUGCGAUACGUAAUGUGAAUUGCAGAAUUCAGUGAAUCAUCGAAUCUUUGAACGCACCUUGCGCCCCUUGGUAUUCCGAGGGGCACACCCGUUUGAGUGUCGUGAAAACCUCAACCUCCUUGGUUUCUUCUGGAGACCGAAGCAGGCUUGGACUUUGGAGGCCUUUGCUGGCACCUCUCUUUUUGAAGGCCAGCUCCUCUUAAACAAAUUAGCAGGGUCCUCUUUGCCGAUCCUCGACGUGUGAUAANAUGUUUCCAUGUCUUGGUUUAUGGCUCUGUCACCUUUUGGGACCUGCUUCUAACCGUCUGGACCUUGCGUUGAGACAAUGUUCGAGCAUGUGCCUCCCUUCUCGGGAAGCUCCCUCGACCCCACGACCCCUUGACCUCAAAUCGGGUGAGACUACCCGCUGAACU